AAACCAACAGGGAUUGCCUUAGUAGCGGCGAGUGAACCGGCAAAAGCUCAGAUUUGAAAGCCUCUUUUGGCAUUGUAUUCUGAAGCCUUGGUCCUGGGACCUGGUGCUUAAGUCUUCUGGAAAGGAGCGCCAUGGAGGGUGAUAGCCCCGUGAAGCACUAACCCCAUUGUAGGAUCUUGGCAUGGAGUCGAGUUGUUUGGGAAUGCAGCUCAAAUGGGUGGUAUGCUCCAUCUAAAGCUAAAUAUCUGCGAGAGACCGAUAGCGAACAAGUACUGUGAAGGAAAGAUGAAAAGAACUUUGAAAAGAGAGUGAAAUAGUACGUGAAAUUGUUGAAAUGGAAGGAUAGGCCGCUAACCACGCAGAGUCGUGUUUAGGGGGAGGACAAAAGCUGUAUACUUCAUCAUUCUUCGGAGUGAUGUCGUUGCGGUGCAUACUCCCACCUGGGCGCGAGGAUCUAAGACUCUGCUAAAUGGUGGUCUAUCAC
Molecule: ribosomal RNA, 484 nt
Filed under: Starmerella floricola
Lineage: Eukaryota; Fungi; Ascomycota; Dipodascomycetes; Dipodascales; Trichomonascaceae
Description: eukaryotic LSU rRNA
Rfam family: Eukaryotic large subunit ribosomal RNA
Source: RNAcentral